GCACUUGUUUUGGCAGUACUUAUACCACAACUGGAAUGAUACAGAAAAGAUUACUGUGGCUCUAAUGCAAGGAGGAGAGACAAAUUUAUAAAGUAUUUUAUAUAUAU
Molecule: small nuclear RNA, 107 nt
Filed under: Erinaceus europaeus (western European hedgehog)
Lineage: Eukaryota; Metazoa; Chordata; Mammalia; Eulipotyphla; Erinaceidae
Source: RNAcentral